This 396-nucleotide long non-coding RNA is filed under the name Manacus vitellinus (golden-collared manakin). RNAcentral describes it as "lncRNA (ENSMVIG00005014920.1)". The record is from RNAcentral. Lineage: Eukaryota; Metazoa; Chordata; Aves; Passeriformes; Pipridae.
GGAUCCUGUGUUGUCUUUGCGUCACACAGCCCAAGGCUCCUGCAACCAGCCAAGUCCAGGCUGGUGUUUUACACUUGCACAGCUCCAGGGGUACAAGAUUUUGCCCUUAGAAGAAUUUCCUGUGCUGCCAGACUGGGAGAUUCUGCCACAGACUGCUUACCCAGCUGCCUUGCAAGUCUCCAAGACAGAGACCAUCUCUGAUUCCUGUCUUUCCUGUCCUGCCAUGUGCCUGCUCCUCAGGGAUUACCCAAAUAGGAGCCUCACAAUUGUUACCAACAGCACAUCAGAAAUUCUGAAGAAACUGUUGAAAACAGCUUCUGGGCUUUUACUAAAAUAGUUUCCAGAGAUGAGGAAAAUGAGAGAAUGCAUAUACAAUCUUAGACAAACGAUCUGCUC